This 87-nucleotide transfer RNA is filed under the name Klebsiella pneumoniae. Its description in RNAcentral is "tRNA-Tyr". It matches the Rfam family "tRNA". Rfam says of the family: Transfer RNA (tRNA) molecules are approximately 80 nucleotides in length. Their secondary structure includes four short double-helical elements and three loops (D, anti-codon, and T loops). The record is from RNAcentral. Lineage: Bacteria; Pseudomonadati; Pseudomonadota; Gammaproteobacteria; Enterobacterales; Enterobacteriaceae.
GGGGCGUUAGACCGUAGGGGUAGCGGGACAGACUGUAAAUCUGUUGCUCAAAAGGCUCGGGUGGUUCGACUCCAUCACUCCCCACCA